UUGACCUCGGAUCAGGUAGGGAUACCCGCUGAACUUAAGCAUAUCAAUAAGCGGAGGAAAAGAAACCAACAGGGAUUGCCCUAGUAACGGCGAGUGAAGCGGCAACAGCUCAAAUUUGAAAUCUGGCUCUUUUAGAGUCCGAGUUGUAAUUUGCAGAGGGCGCUUUGGCUUUGGCAGCGGUCCAAGUUCCUUGGAACAGGACGUCACAGAGGGUGAGAAUCCCGUACGUGGUCGCUAGCUAUUGCCGUGUAAAGCCACUUCGACGAGUCGAGUUGUUUGGGAAUGCAGCUCUAAAUGGGAGGUAAAUUUCUUCUAAAGCUAAAUAUUGGCCAGAGACCGAUAGCGCACCAGUAGAGUGAUCGACAGAUGAAAGCACUUUGGAAGAGAGUCAACAGCACGUGAAAUGUUGAAGGGAACCCUUGCAGCAGAC
This 430-nucleotide ribosomal RNA is filed under the name Bipolaris bamagaensis. RNAcentral describes it as "eukaryotic LSU rRNA". It matches the Rfam family "Eukaryotic large subunit ribosomal RNA", at positions 1 to 433 of the family's 3401-position model. The record is from RNAcentral. Lineage: Eukaryota; Fungi; Ascomycota; Dothideomycetes; Pleosporales; Pleosporaceae.